CGGCAAGAUGUGUGUUGUAGGCCUACGCUGCUCCGCAGCCAGGGCCUCCACCACCUUGCCUUAUUCGCCUUCAGCUCAAUGGAUCUUGCUCUGCGAGGCC
Molecule: non-coding RNA, 100 nt
Organism: Pseudomonas sp. MF4836
Lineage: Bacteria; Pseudomonadati; Pseudomonadota; Gammaproteobacteria; Pseudomonadales; Pseudomonadaceae
Source: Rfam